RNAcentral lists this unclassified non-coding RNA (282 nucleotides) under Hevea brasiliensis (rubber tree). Lineage: Eukaryota; Viridiplantae; Streptophyta; Magnoliopsida; Malpighiales; Euphorbiaceae. The record is from RNAcentral.
GGGGUGGGUGUGGUGUGUUUGGUUGUUGACUGUUGAUGCAACAGACACUUGGCAACAAAAAUGACGAAGAAGAAAAUAUGUAGCUGUGAAUUCUUUCAAAUAUGCAGAAAAUGCUAAGCACUGUCCUAUUUUUCAUAGAGCUCGUUUCUAAGAAAUUUAUGAAUUGUCUGCCUGUGGGCUGUGGCGUUACCUCCUCGCAACAGUGUCGAACUGGAUCCGUGAAUCAUUAUCUCAAUAUGCAGGGUUUUUUUAGAGCGGAGGGUGAGCUAAAUUGAAUACGUC